This 445-nucleotide ribosomal RNA is filed under the name uncultured bacterium. RNAcentral's name for it is "partial 16S ribosomal RNA". It matches the Rfam family "Bacterial small subunit ribosomal RNA", at positions 354 to 796 of the family's 1533-position model. The record is from RNAcentral.
GUAGGGAAUAUUGGACAAUGGGCGAAAGCCUGAUCCAGCCAUGCCGCGUGAUAGAUGAAGGCCCUCUGGGUUGCAAAUAUCUUUUAUCUGGGAAGAAACUCCUCAAUUCUUAGAGGCCUGACGGUACCAGAGGAAUAAGCACCGGCUAACUCCGUGCCAGCAGCCGCGGUAAUACGGAGGGUGCAAGCGUUAUCCGGAUUCACUGGGUUUAAAGGGUGCGUAGGCGGGUUGAUAAGUCAGUGUUGAAAGCUCCGGGCUUAACUUGGAAACUGCCAUUGAUACUGUCAAUCUUGAAUGUCGUAGAGGUAAGCGGAAUGUUGCAUGUAGCGGUGAAAUGCUUAGAUAUGUUACAGAACACCAAUUGCGAAGGCAGCUUACUAUGCGAUAAUUGACGCUGAGGCACGAGAGCGUGGGGAGCAAACAGGAUUAGAAACCCUAGUAGUCC